RNAcentral lists this ribosomal RNA (401 nucleotides) under uncultured cyanobacterium. Its description in RNAcentral is "bacterial SSU rRNA". It matches the Rfam family "Bacterial small subunit ribosomal RNA", at positions 356 to 770 of the family's 1533-position model. The record is from RNAcentral. Lineage: Bacteria; Bacillati; Cyanobacteriota.
GGGGAAUUUUCCGCAAUGGGCGAAAGCCUGACGGAGCAAUACCGCGUGAGGGAAGACUGCCUAUGGGUUGUAAACCUCUUUUUUCAGGGAGGAAUUCAAUGACGCGUACCUGAAGAAUAAGCAUCGGCUAACUCCGUGCCAGCAGCCGCGGUAAUACGGAGGAUGCAAGCGUUAUCCGGAAUGAUUGGGCGUAAAGCGUCCGCAGGUGGCAAUGUAAGUCUGCUGUUAAAGAGUGAGGCUCAACCUCAUAAGAGCAGUGGAAACUACAUAGCUAGAGUACGUUCGGGGCAGAGGGAAUUCCUGGUGUAGCGGUGAAAUGCGUAGAGAUCAGGAAGAACACCGGUGGCGAAGGCGCUCUGCUAGGCCGUAACUGACACUGAGGGACGAAAGCUAGGGGAGCG